RNAcentral lists this ribosomal RNA (496 nucleotides) under Ursus americanus (American black bear). RNAcentral's name for it is "partial 12S ribosomal RNA". It matches the Rfam family "Bacterial small subunit ribosomal RNA", at positions 848 to 1527 of the family's 1533-position model. The record is from RNAcentral. Lineage: Eukaryota; Metazoa; Chordata; Mammalia; Carnivora; Ursidae.
AAUUUAUUAAACAAAAUUAUUCGCCGGAGAACUACUAGCAACAGCUUAAAACUCAAAGGACUUGGCGGUGCUUUAAACCCCCCUAGAGGAGGCUGUUCUAUAAUCGAUAAACCCCGAUAGACCUCACCACCUCUUGCUAAUCCAGUCUAUAUACCGCCAUCUUCAGCUAACCCUUAAAAGGAGUAAAAGUAAGCACAAUCAUCCCACAUAAAAAAGUUAGGUCAAGGUGUAACCCAUGGGGUGGGAAGAAAUGGGCUACAUUUUCUAUUCAAGAACAACCUACGAAAGUUUUUAUGAAACUAAAAACUAAAGGUGGAUUUAGCAGUAAACCAAGAAUAGAGAGCUUGGUUGAAUUAGGGCAUGGAGCAUGCACACACCGCCCGUCACCCUCCUCAAGUGGCACAGUCAAAAUUUACACCUAUUGAAAUUUAAAUAAAACGCAAGAGGAGACAAGUCGUAACAAGGUAAGCAUACUGGAAAGUGUGCUUGGAUAAAC